UACGUAGGGUGCAAGCGUUAAUCGGAAUUACUGGGCGUAAAGCGUGCGCAGGCGGUUGUGCAAGACAGAUGUGAAAUCCCCGGGCUUAACCUGGGAACUGCAUUUGUGACUGCACGGCUGGAGUGCGGCAGAGGGGGAUGGAAUUCCGCGUGUAGCAGUGAAAUGCGUAGAUAUGCGGAGGAACACCGAUGGCGAAGGCAAUCCCCUGGGCCUGCACUGACGCUCAUGCACGAAAGCGUGGGGAGCAAACAGG
RNAcentral lists this ribosomal RNA (253 nucleotides) under uncultured bacterium. RNAcentral describes it as "partial 16S ribosomal RNA". It matches the Rfam family "Bacterial small subunit ribosomal RNA", at positions 524 to 776 of the family's 1533-position model. The record is from RNAcentral.